AUGGAAAAAGGGAAGAAAAAGAAAAAGAAGAAGGUGAAGCUCAGGUCUUUCAAGCCAGAGGACAUGAAAGCACCAAUAUUCAAAUUGGGUAUGAAGUUCCCUACUGCAGCUGAUCUUAGAAGGGCAAUUCGAGAGUACGCUAUUCAGAAUAGAGUUGCAAUCAAGUAUGCAAAGAAUGAUAAACAAAGAAUUAGGGCACACUGCUCGGAUGACUGUCCAUGGUAUUUAUUCGCAGCACCUGACAGCAGAACCACAAGUUUUGUGGUGAAAACUUAUGUGGGGGAUCACACCUGCAGUAAAGAAUGGGAGGUCAAUGGAUUCACAUCAAGAUAUCUAGCAGGCAAGUAUUUGGAGAACUUCAGGGCAGACGAAAAGAUGACAUUGAUGAAUUUUGCAAGGUUGGUGCAGAAGGACUACAACAUGAUCCCUACAAGGAGCAAGCUAGCAAGAGCAAGAAGGAUAGCAAUAAAGCAGAUUCAUGGAGAUGAGGAGAAACAAUACUCGAUGAUGUGGGACUAUGCAUAA
Molecule: ribosomal RNA, 525 nt
Filed under: Triticum aestivum (bread wheat)
Lineage: Eukaryota; Viridiplantae; Streptophyta; Magnoliopsida; Poales; Poaceae
Description: partial small subunit ribosomal RNA
Source: RNAcentral